Molecule: ribosomal RNA, 253 nt
Filed under: uncultured bacterium
Lineage: Bacteria
Description: partial 16S ribosomal RNA
Rfam family: Bacterial small subunit ribosomal RNA
Source: RNAcentral
UACGUAGGGUGCAAGCGUUGUCCGGAAUUAUUGGGCGUAAAGAGCUCGUAGGCGGUUUGUUGCGUCGGCUGUGAAAUCCCCAGGCUCAACCUGGGAACUGCGUCUGAUACUGGAUGGCUUGAAUUCGGGAGAGGGAUGCAGAAUUCCAGGUGUAGCGGUGAAAUGCGUAGAUAUCUGGAGGAAUACCGGUGGCGAAGGCGGCAUCCUGGACCGACAUUGACGCUGAGGAGCGAAAGCUAGGGGAGCAAACGGG